UGGUAGUUUUCCCUUGUGCAUUGUAGUUGCAUUGCACUGUUGCAUUGUGGGUAAUGUGACAACAAUACAACCGGGAUUUCUGCACAGUCAUCAUAAAUUUG
This is a microRNA precursor of Ciona intestinalis (vase tunicate), 101 nucleotides long. Ensembl annotates it as cin-mir-33. Its record names the gene cin-mir-33. The record is from Ensembl. Lineage: Eukaryota; Metazoa; Chordata; Ascidiacea; Phlebobranchia; Cionidae.